UACGGGGGGGGCAAGCGUUGUUCGGAAUUACUGGGCGUAAAGGGCUUGUAGGUGGCCAACUAAGUCGGAUGUGAAAUCCCCAGGCUUAACCUGGGAACUGCAUCCGAUACUGGAUGGCUUGAAUCCGGGAGAGGGAUGCAGAAUUCCAGGUGUAGCGGUGAAAUGCGUAGAUAUCUGGAGGAAUACCGGUGGCGAAGGCGGCAUCCUGGACCGGCAUUGACGCUGAGUGAGCGAAAGCCAGGGGAGCAAACGGG
RNAcentral lists this ribosomal RNA (254 nucleotides) under uncultured bacterium. RNAcentral's name for it is "partial 16S ribosomal RNA". It matches the Rfam family "Bacterial small subunit ribosomal RNA", at positions 524 to 776 of the family's 1533-position model. The record is from RNAcentral.